AGAGUUUGAUCAUGGCUCAGGAUGAACGCUGGCGGUAUGCUUAACACAUGCAAGUUGAACGAAAGCUUAUGCUUUAGUAGCGGACGGGUGAGUAAUACGUGAGAAUCUACCUUGAGGAGGGGAAUAACAAUUGGAAACGAUUGCUAAUGCCCCAUAUGCUUACGAGUGAAAUAGAUUUAUCUGCCUUAAGAUGAGCUCACGCCUGAUUAGCUAGUUGGUGAAGUAAAGGUUUACCAAGGCUACGAUCAGUAGCUGGUUUGAGAGGAUGAUCAGCCACACUGGAACUGAGACACGGUCCAGACUUCUACGGGAGGCAGCAGUGGGGAAUUUUCCGCAAUGGGCGCAAGCCUGACGGAGCAAUACCNNNNNNGGGAAGAAUGCCUGUGGGUUGUAAACCUCUUCUCUAU
Molecule: ribosomal RNA, 407 nt
Filed under: uncultured bacterium
Lineage: Bacteria
Description: bacterial SSU rRNA
Rfam family: Bacterial small subunit ribosomal RNA
Source: RNAcentral